This 932-nucleotide ribosomal RNA is filed under the name Ornithinibacillus sp. PS3(2011). Its description in RNAcentral is "bacterial SSU rRNA". It matches the Rfam family "Bacterial small subunit ribosomal RNA", at positions 34 to 960 of the family's 1533-position model. Lineage: Bacteria; Bacillati; Bacillota; Bacilli; Caryophanales; Bacillaceae. The record is from RNAcentral.
CGUGGGGGGGGGCCAAAAUAAUGCAAGUCGAGCGAGUGAAAUUAACUGAUCCCUUCGGGGUGACGUUAAUGGAUCUAGCGGCGGACGGGUGAGUAACACGUGGGCAACCUGCCUGUAAGACUGGGAUAACUCGCGGAAACGUGAGCUAAUACCGGAUAACACUUCGAACCACAUGGUUUGAAGAUGAAAGGCGGCGCAAGCUGUCACUUACAGAUGGGCCCGCGGCGCAUUAGCUAGUUGGUGAGGUAACGGCUCACCAAGGCGACAAUGCGUAGCCGACCUGAGAGGGUGAUCGGCCACACUGGGACUGAAACACGGCCCAAACUCCUACGGGAGGCAGCAGUAGGGAAUCUUCCGCAAUGGACAAAAGUCUGACGGAGCAACGCCGCGUGAGUGAUGAAGGUUUUCGGAUUGUAAAACUCUGUUGUUAGGGAAAAACAAGUACAAUAGUAACUGAUUGUACCUUGACGGUACCUAACCAAAAAGCCCCGGCUAACUACGUGCCAGCAGCCGCGGUAAUACGUAGGGGGCAAGCGUUGUCCGGAAUUAUUGGGCGUAAAGCGCGCGCAGGCGGUCCUUUAAGUCUGAUGUGAAAGCCCACGGCUUAACCGUGGAGGGUCAUUGGAAACUGGAGGACUUGAGUGCAGAAGAGGAGAGUGGAAUUCCACGUGUAGCGGUGAAAUGCGUAGAGAUGUGGAGGAACACCAGUGGCGAAGGCGACUCUCUGGUCUGUAACUGACGCUGAGGCGCGAAAGCGUGGGGAGCGAACAGGAUUAGAUACCCUGGUAGUCCACGCCGUAACGAUGAGUGCUAGGUGUAGGGGUUUCCGCUCUAGUUGCUGAGUACGCAUAGCACUCGCUGGGAGUACGGCGGCAGCCUGAAACUCAAGAUGACGGGUCGUACAGCGUGGAGCAGGUGUUACUCGAAGCAAG